This 424-nucleotide ribosomal RNA is filed under the name uncultured bacterium. RNAcentral's name for it is "bacterial SSU rRNA". It matches the Rfam family "Bacterial small subunit ribosomal RNA", at positions 356 to 797 of the family's 1533-position model. The record is from RNAcentral.
UGGGAAUAUUGCACAAUGGGCGCAAGCCUGAUGCAGCAAUGCCGCGUGAGUGAAGACGGCCUUAGGGUUGUAAAACUCUUUCGCUAGGGAAGAUAAUGACGGUACCUAGUAAAGAAGUCCCGGCUAACUCCGUGCCAGCAGCCGCGGUAAUACGGAGGGGACUAGCGUUGUUCGGAAUUACUGGGCGUAAAGAGUUCGUAGGCGGACUAGCAAGUUAGAGGUGAAAUCCCAGGGCUCAACCUUGGAACUGCCUUUAAAACUGCUAGUCUAGAGACCGGAAGAGGUUAGGGGAAUACCUAGUGUAGAGGUGAAAUUCGUAGAUAUUAGGUGGAACACCAGUGGCGAAGGCGCCUAACUGGUCCGGUACUGACGCUGAGGAACGAAAGCGUGGGGAGCAAACAGGAUUAGAUACCCUGGUAGUCCA